Lytechinus variegatus (green sea urchin) is the source of this 1117-nucleotide long non-coding RNA. RefSeq lists it as uncharacterized. The transcript has 5 exons. NCBI's taxonomy places the organism in Eukaryota, Metazoa, Echinodermata, Echinoidea, Temnopleuroida, Toxopneustidae. The record is from RefSeq and is a predicted model, not a curated record.
CACGACGAUAGAGGGCGACAGAUAAUUUGCCUAAUUUUUAUCUCCACCGAAAACGGUGCGCUUUUCAAAUUUCCUUGUGAAUUGGGCUUCCUUAACUUGCACAAAUGAGAACUUUUCACAUGUUGUCAGCGGGAAAAUGCCGACUAUUUAAACGAAUCAAUUCUUUUUAUUCGUUAUGAUAUCUCCUAUACAUCUAUAAACUGUAGAUGAAGCGAAGUUUUACCUGGAUUCUGAUUGCCGAUUGCAUGAAAUUGACUCGUCCUUCAUCCUUGUGCCCCACCUGUUAAAAUUGAUCAGUAGGCCAAGUCCAAGGUGAUGGAGGAUAUACUAACAUUUGGAGCUUACAGGGCCAUCAUGGACGAUGACCAAUCAUCAUGCGUUAAGUCAUGCAUAGAGUCAUGUGUAACUUUGCAAACAGCUUUAUGAAACACCGACCUGAGUAAUCUUUCAACCAAUCACAGAUGGAUAGCGACAACCAAGAAGGAGAUGGAGGAUUAAGACAAGGAGCUUACGGGCCAUCAUGGACAGUGACAACCAAUCAUCACAGUUCUUCGCUGAAGCCAUUGACCAGAUCCUGCAAAGGCAUAUGAAAGUCAUCAAGCACAAGCCUGGAAGGGAUCAUCUUUAGCAAAGGGAAGCUCAAAAAGAGAUUCUGAUCACACCAAAUGACCCAGGUCAAGGUAGUUGAUCCUAUUCUGGUUUUAAGGAAGGCAAAGAGAACGGUCAUUGAGCUAGAAACAGGCAAGACCAAUUGCUUUGGAGGCAUGGAUGAGGUCCUUGACAUGACCUCUGAUGAGAGCGAGUAUGAGCAUCCUACCAAGCCUCAAACACCACCACAUGAAGAUUAAAGAAAAGAGAGAGCCCUCACAGAGACCACCUAAGAAACAGAUGCCCUCUGGAUGGACUCGUCUGGAAUGCUUCAGGAUGGAGAAGGGAUUGUUGACAUUUGGCCAUAUGACAAGGCUGAGAAUCCUGGAAGAGAGACAAACGGAUUCUGACCUGCCAGUUGCAAAACCUGAUGGACCUAUCAACAACGAAACAGAGGAUAAGGAGACGGUUUCAUAUUUGCAAUUGAUUGCAAACUUUAACGUUACACUGCCCAGGGGCCCGUUUCAUA